UACGUAGGGGGCAAGCGUUGUCCGGAAUUAUUGGGCGUAAAGCGCGCGCAGGCGGUUCCUUAAGUCUGAUGUGAAAUCUCGCGGCUCAACCGCGAGCGGUCAUUGGAAACUGGGGAGCUUGAGUACAGAAGAGGAGAGUGGAAUUCCACGUGUAGCGGUGAAAUGCGUAGAUAUGUGGAGGAACACCAGUGGCGAAGGCGACUCUCUGGUCUGUAACUGACGCUGAGGCGAGAAAGCGUGGGGAGCGAACAGG
This 253-nucleotide ribosomal RNA is filed under the name uncultured bacterium. Its description in RNAcentral is "partial 16S ribosomal RNA". It matches the Rfam family "Bacterial small subunit ribosomal RNA", at positions 524 to 776 of the family's 1533-position model. The record is from RNAcentral.